This 88-nucleotide ribosomal RNA is filed under the name Romboutsia sp. Lineage: Bacteria; Bacillati; Bacillota; Clostridia; Peptostreptococcales; Peptostreptococcaceae. The record is from RNAcentral.
UGUUCCCAUACCGAACACAGAAGUUAAGCUCUUUAGCGGCAAUGGUACUUGGCGGGCGACCGCCUGGGAGAGUAGCACGUAGCCACGU